CCUACGGGCGGCAGCAGUGGGGAAUAUUGGACAAUGGGCGAAAGCCUGAUCCAGCCAUGCCGCGUGUGUGAAGAAGGCCUUCGGGUUGUAAAGCACUUUCAGUGGGGAAGAAAGCCUUGGGGCUAAUACCCUCGAGGAAGGACAUCACCCACAGAAGAAGCACCGGCUAACUCCGUGCCAGCAGCCGCGGUAAUACGGAGGGUGCGAGCGUUAAUCGGAAUUACUGGGCGUAAAGCGCGCGUAGGCGGUCUGAUAAGCCGGUUGUGGAAGCCCCGGGCUCAACCUGGGAACGGCAUCCGGAACUGUCAGGCUAGAGUGCAGGAGAGGAAGGUAGAAUUCCCGGUGUAGCGGUGAAAUGCGUAGAGAUCGGGAGGAAUACCAGUGGCGAAGGCGGCCUUCUGGACUGACACUGACGCUGAGGUGCGAAAGCGUGGGUAGCAAACAGGAUUAGAUACCCUGGUAGUC
This 465-nucleotide ribosomal RNA is filed under the name Vreelandella stevensii. RNAcentral's name for it is "partial 16S ribosomal RNA". It matches the Rfam family "Bacterial small subunit ribosomal RNA", at positions 338 to 795 of the family's 1533-position model. Lineage: Bacteria; Pseudomonadati; Pseudomonadota; Gammaproteobacteria; Oceanospirillales; Halomonadaceae. The record is from RNAcentral.